UCUCAGGCUGUGACCCUCUAGAGGGAAGCGCUUUCUGUUGGCUAAAAGAAAAGAAAGCGCUUCCCUUCAGAGUGUUAACGCUUUGAGA
Molecule: microRNA precursor, 88 nt
Organism: Homo sapiens (human)
Lineage: Eukaryota; Metazoa; Chordata; Mammalia; Primates; Hominidae
Gene: MIR518E
Product: microRNA 518e
Source: Ensembl